RNAcentral lists this non-coding RNA (24 nucleotides) under Drosophila melanogaster (fruit fly). The record is from RNAcentral. Lineage: Eukaryota; Metazoa; Arthropoda; Insecta; Diptera; Drosophilidae.
UUAGCUUGCUAUCAAGGAUUACGC